This 2553-nucleotide ribosomal RNA is filed under the name Fuscoporia gilva. Its description in RNAcentral is "large subunit ribosomal RNA". It matches the Rfam family "Bacterial large subunit ribosomal RNA", at positions 15 to 2475 of the family's 2925-position model. Lineage: Eukaryota; Fungi; Basidiomycota; Agaricomycetes; Hymenochaetales; Hymenochaetaceae. The record is from RNAcentral.
GGGGUUAUUAAGGAUAAUUAGCAAAUUUAUAAAUAAGGAGGUAAACAACCUAAAAGCUACAUUUCUAAAGUGGCAAUCCUAAGGGAAACCUUUUAUUUAAAACUUCCUGAAGUAAAUCAUUUUAGUAAGGAAAGGAAAGGAAAUCAACCGAGACUCCGAAAGUAAUGGUGAGUGAAAUCGGAUUAGCCUAUGAAAAUUAAAAAGUGAAACAACACACACUUAUUUUUUUUAGUAUUUCUAAUCAACUUAAUUUGUGUUCCAAAGAGGGUACAAACCAUAGUCCUGUAAUUUUUUUUUUCUCAUAUUUUUAUCUAUAAAAAAGAUAAAAAAAAAAAUACGAUGAGAGAAAACUUGUCGGAAUAUAGGGGAACCAUCCUCUAAGGCUAAGUAUUAUAAAUUUAGCGAUAGUGAACAGUACUGUAAAGGAACAUGUGAAAAAGUAAAAAAUAAAAUUAAUGAAACAGAUAUUGAAUUAGUAACUCUAUAAGCAGCCGAAAUUAAAUUUUAACAAUAACGGCGUACCUUUUGCAUAAUGGGUCAGCAAGUUAAUAGAAAUAGCAAGGUUAAAAGCCUUAGCGAAAGCGACUAAACUUAUUUAAAAAAGUAAAAUUUUUAUUUUACAAUUUAUUUUUAAUUUUAAUAAAUUAAAAAAAAGUAAUACCUUGUGUUAAACAAAAAAAAUUUUUUAUUAUUGAUAUAAGUUAUUAUUUUUUAAAUUAUAGUUUUGGGUAAGUUAUUUCUAUUAGACCCGAAGCUAGAUGAUCUUUUUAGGGCCAGAUUAUUAAGGAUCGAACGGGUGAAUGUUGCAGAAUUCUCCGAUGAGUUGGAAAUGCCAAUCUGAUCUAGUGCUAGCUGGUAUUCUUCGAAACAUAUGUAAGUAUGACAACCAAUUAAAUUUAUGAAGGUACAGCACGGAAAUUCCGAACAAGUAUUAUUAUUUUUUUCAAACAAUGUUUUUGUUUAGAAAAAUUUAAAGAAAUAUGCGUUUAGGUUGCGGGGAUCUAGUAAAUCUUACCAAUGGAAUUGAAACUCGGAAGUACAUAAAUUGAUGUUGGAUAUUCAGACUGCUCAUGAUAAGUUGGGUAGUCAAGACGAAAACAGUCGAGAACACGCUUUAAGGUCCCAAAUGAUUAUUAAGUGAAAUUAAAGAUGUUACAAAUUGCAAGCAGCUGUAAAGUGAGCCUGGCAGUCGCUACUUUUUAAUGAACGUUGUAACAACGCAGCAGCUCUUUAGAUUGUGGCACUAAAAAUUUAACGGGUCUAAAUAAUCAACCGAUAUCGUGUUAAUUAAUAAAAAAAAAAUUUUUUUUAUUAAUUUAGGUAGAAGAACAUUCAGAAACGGUAGAAACACAGUGUUCCAUUGUGAUUGACGAACUGAAGAGAGAAUGCUGACAUGAGUAACGUAAAAAGAAGUUUUAAUACUUCUCGCCGAAUACGAAAGGGUUAUAAGUAAGGUUUAAACUAACUUAUGUUAAAUGCGGGUCUCUAAGGUACAGAACCAAUGUUCUGGCUGAUGAGGUAGUGAUUGUUAUGUCUUAAUGGAAGAUUGGACCUAGAAAAAGAAUCACUUCUGAAGAAUUAUUAAUAUAGUUUUGAUAUAAUUAUUAAUAAUUAUAUUAGACUAUAUUUAAAAAGGUCACAUUUUUAAAUAAAUGGACUGUAAACAUUUUAAAUUUAAGUUAUAAUGUUAAUUGUUAUAUUUAGGUGAUAAGAUAACAAUUAAGCUUAAGUAAAAAGAACUACCGUACCCUAAACCGACACAGGUUCGUAGGUAGAGAAUACUAAGGCGUAGAGCUAAAAGUUGUAAAGGAACUCGGCAAGUUGUCCUGCAUUGUGUUCUGGGAAAACACAUAAGUGGGUAAAACUAUCAAACUCCGGGGACACCCUAAAACUUAUGGUACCAAACUAUAGUCGAAAGGCUAUAAGUGGAUGGACUAAUCACCCAUGUAAGGUAAUAAGUCAUAAGAUGAUUGAAAAUGAAAUGGGUUAUCGCGGAUCUAAAUCAGAAUUUCAAAACCCACAGCCAAAUGAAAUAUCUGUAAAAGAGCAACGAGUAGAUGGUAGUUGUUGCAUUAAAAAUAAAUUACUGCAAUUAAGGUGUACUCUAAUGGGAUUCCAAAGAAAUGCAGCUUUACUGUAGUUAGUUAAUACACUGAUCUAAAACAAUUCAAAUCAAUAGAAAUUAGGCAUGUCGAUAGACGUAAUCCGAAAGGAAAGUGGAAACCUCCUGAUUUGAAUUGGGUUAGUGUUUACCUUAUUAAAUAGAAAUUUGGGACAAUUGACUAAUUGGCAGUUUGACUGGGGCGGUCGUCUUUAAUAAAGUAGCAAAGUACAUCCAAAGAUUUAUUAAUAAAAAAAAUUCUUUUUAUAAGGUAUAGCUAGAAAUCGAAUGGAGAUCAAUCAACCAGUGUAAAGGUUGCGCAGAGUGUAAUGGCGGAAAGCAUACCUAACUGAAAGACUUAAAAGUCGACCAGAUACGUAAGUAGGGCAUAGUGACCCCUCGCUAUAAAAUGGAAUAGACGGGGAUCAUUUGAUAAAAGUUACGCUAGGGAU